RNAcentral lists this ribosomal RNA (371 nucleotides) under uncultured bacterium. Its description in RNAcentral is "bacterial SSU rRNA". It matches the Rfam family "Bacterial small subunit ribosomal RNA", at positions 527 to 896 of the family's 1533-position model. The record is from RNAcentral.
GGAGGGUGCAAGCGUUAAUCGGAAUUACUGGGCGUAAAGCGCACGCAGGCGGUUGGAUAAGUUAGAUGUGAAAGCCCCGGGCUCAACCUGGGAAUUGCAUUUAAAACUGUCCAGCUAGAGUCUUGUAGAGGGGGGUAGAAUUCCAGGUGUAGCGGUGAAAUGCGUAGAGAUCUGGAGGAAUACCGGUGGCGAAGGCGGCCCCCUGGACAAAGACUGACGCUCAGGUGCGAAAGCGUGGGGAGCAAACGGGAUUAGAUACCCCGGUAGUCCACGCUGUAAACGAUGUCAACUAGCAAUAGGGAGAGUCGACCCUUUCUGUUGCGAAGCUAACGCGUUAAGUUGACCGCCUGGGGAGUACGGCCGCAAGGCUA